This 136-nucleotide ribosomal RNA is filed under the name uncultured bacterium. RNAcentral describes it as "partial 16S ribosomal RNA". It matches the Rfam family "Bacterial small subunit ribosomal RNA", at positions 355 to 509 of the family's 1533-position model. The record is from RNAcentral.
UGGGGGAUAUUGCACAAUGGGGGAAACCCUGAUGCAGCAACGCCGCGUGAGUGAAGAAGUAUUUCGGUAUGUAAAGCUCUAUCAGCAGGGAAGAAAAUGACAGUACCUGACUAAGAAGCCCGGCUAACUACGUGCC